UGGGGAAUAUUGCACAAUGGGCGCAAGCCUGAUGCAGCCAUGCCGCGUGUAUGAAGAAGGCCUUCGGGUUGUAAAGUACUUUCAGCAGGGAGGAAGGGAGUAAAGUUAAUACCUUUGCUCAUUGACGUUACCCGCAGAAGAAGCACCGGCUAACUCCGUGCCAGCAGCCGCGGUAAUACGGAGGGUGCAAGCGUUAAUCGGAAUUACUGGGCGUAAAGCGCACGCAGGCGGUUUGUUAAGUCAGAUGUGAAAUCCCCGGGCUCAACCUGGGAACUGCAUCUGAUACUGGCAAGCUUGAGUCUCGUAGAGGGGGGUAGAAUUCCAGGUGUAGCGGUGAAAUGCGUAGAGAUCUGGAGGAAUACCGGUGGCGAAGGCGGCCCCCUGGACGAAGACUGACGCUCAGGUGCGAAAGCGUGGGGAGCAAACAGG
This 429-nucleotide ribosomal RNA is filed under the name Chloroflexota bacterium. Its description in RNAcentral is "Chloroflexi bacterium partial 16S ribosomal RNA". It matches the Rfam family "Bacterial small subunit ribosomal RNA", at positions 355 to 776 of the family's 1533-position model. The record is from RNAcentral. RNAcentral also lists the same sequence under 1 other name. Lineage: Bacteria; Bacillati; Chloroflexota.